GGAUAGCUCAAUCAGUAGAGCAUGAGAUUCUUAAUCUCAGGGUUGUGAGUUCAAGCCCCAUGUAGGCCA
Non-coding RNA from Podarcis lilfordi (Lilford's wall lizard), 69 nucleotides. NCBI's taxonomy places the organism in Eukaryota, Metazoa, Chordata, Lepidosauria, Squamata, Lacertidae. The record is from the annotation of a GenBank genome assembly.